CGUAGGGUGCGAGCGUUAAUCGGAAUUACUGGGCGUAAAGGGUGCGCAGGCGGUUAUGAAAGACAGGCGUGAAAUCCCCGGGCUUAACCUGGGAACUGCGUUUGUGACUACAUGACUCGAGUACGGCAGAGGGGGGUGGAAUUCCACGUGUAGCAGUGAAAUGCGUAGAGAUGUGGAGGAACACCGAUGGCGAAGGCAGCCCCCUGGGCCAGUACUGACGCUCAUGCACGAAAGCAUGGGGAGCAAACAGGAUUAGAUACCCUGGUAGUCCACGCCCUAAACGAUGUCAACUAGUUGUUGGUAGGGUAAAACCUAUUAGUAACGUAGCUAACGCGUGAAGUUGACCGCCUGGGGAGUACGGCCGCAAGGUUA
RNAcentral lists this ribosomal RNA (372 nucleotides) under uncultured organism. RNAcentral's name for it is "bacterial SSU rRNA". It matches the Rfam family "Bacterial small subunit ribosomal RNA", at positions 526 to 896 of the family's 1533-position model. The record is from RNAcentral.